AUGCAACUAGAUGAUGAUGAUGGCACAAUAAUGAAUAUCUUCUGGACCGAUGGACAAGCUAUCAUGGAUUACUCUGUCUUUGGAGAUGCCAUUUCCUUUGACACCACAUUUUCAACAAAUAAGUUUCAAAUGCCAUUCGCUCCGUUUAUUGGUGUUAAUUAUCACAAACAGACUAUUCUUUUUGGUGCAGCACUCUUAUAUAAUGAAACUACAGAUACCUUUGAGUGGGCUUUUAGAACCUUCCUACAAGCUAUGUCUGGUAAGCAGCCUGAAACAAUAUUCACCGAUCAAUGUGCUGCCGUUAUAAAUGCUAUUGGAAGGGUUUUUCCGGAAACACGACAUCGUCUUUGUUUAUGGCAUUUGUACCAGAAUGCCGCUAAACAUCUAAGCCAUGUAAUUAGCGACCAUCCUUUGUUCCUUAAAGAAUUCAAAAGAUGUGUGUAUGAAGAUAGAUCAGUGGCACAUUUUGAGAAUAGAUGGCAUGAGCUCUUGGUUAAGUACCAGAUUGGGGGAAAUUCUUGGAUAAACAAUCUGUACAAGUUGCGUGAGAAGUGGGCUACUAUUUAUCGUCGGGAAUCUUUUAGCGCAGACAUGACAUCAACACAAAGGAGUGAAGGAAUGAACAAUGUGUUCAAGAAAACUUUCCGCAAAAGAUUAUGCCUUUCAGAAUUGAUACAAGCAUAUGAGAAGUGCAUUGCUCGUCUUCGCCGGAAAGAAAAAUAUGAAGACUACAAGUCACGCCAUACCAACCCAGUACUCUGCCUACCUAGCCUACCUUUGUUGAAGACUGCAGCGGAAUCAUAUACCAGGACGCUCUAUUCCGAGUUCGAAGAAGAAUUCAAGAAGCAAUUUAGUUUGUCAUGUAUUUUGCUGAGCACUGAUUACACAGUUAGCACUUACAAGUUGACAUCUUUUGAAUACAAGAAUGAUGAAGCCAUAGUGGCUUUUAAUCCAACUACUUUGGAGAUAUGGUGUUCAUGCAAGUUGUAUUGCUGUAUAGGUAUAUUAUGCAAGCACACUCAUAAGGUUUUGACCUGCUGCAAUAUCAUCACCCUGCCAAGUCAGUUCAUAUUGAACAGAUGGACAAAACAUGCAAAACAAGAAAUUUUUACUUUCAAACCGAAUACCGAUGAUAGCCUAGACUCUAUGUUUGCACAUAAUUCUUGA
RNAcentral lists this ribosomal RNA (1167 nucleotides) under Triticum aestivum (bread wheat). RNAcentral describes it as "partial small subunit ribosomal RNA". The record is from RNAcentral. Lineage: Eukaryota; Viridiplantae; Streptophyta; Magnoliopsida; Poales; Poaceae.